UGCAGAGCCACGUCCCGGUCGUCGUCUUCGUCCGCAGCCAGCAGGCACAAUACCACGUUGUCGGGGUCUCUGCGGGCAGCGGGACAGCGGUGGAGAAUGCUGAAAGAGGAAUUUGGACCCAGGACUUUUAUUGGACUCUGGACUCCAAAACCUGCACAGAAAUAGUUGCUAUUUACAGAUAGCAAAGGGGGGUCCACGAAAUAGCUCAGAAGGUAAAGGUGUUUGCUGCCAAGCCUGAUGACCCAGAAUUCACAUCGUUAGGAAAGAUGACUGAUCACGUGGGACUCUGAAAAUAUGAAGCUUUACCUGAGGAGGUGUGCUGGGUAACCCUGCAUGGGGUCUUUGUGGAGAGUAAUCAGAGGAUUUCUCCAUACUCAAAAUACUAAUAGAGGGUUCAUGCCUCACUUAAUAAAUGAGGAAAGUUUUAUACAGGACCUGCCUCUCUAACGCCAACCACCAGGUGAGCAUGAAUGCUGCA
This is a long non-coding RNA of Apodemus sylvaticus (European woodmouse), 478 nucleotides long. RefSeq lists it as uncharacterized. The transcript has 3 exons. NCBI's taxonomy places the organism in Eukaryota, Metazoa, Chordata, Mammalia, Rodentia, Muridae. The record is from RefSeq and is a predicted model, not a curated record.